GAUGAACGCUGGCGGCGUGCCUAAUACAUGCAAGUCGAGCGAACGGACGAGAAGCUUGCCUCUCUGAUGUUAUCGGCGGACGGGUGAGUAACACGUGGAUAACCUACCUAUAAGACUGGGAUAACUUCGGGAAACCGGAGCUAAUACCGGAUAAUAUUUUGAACCGCAUGGUUCAAAAGUGAAAGACGGUCUUGCUGUCACUUAUAGAUGGAUCCGCGCUGCAUUAGCUAGUUGGUAAGGUAACGGCUUACCAAGGCAACGAUGCAUAGCCGACCUGAGAGGGUGAUCGGCCACACUGGAACUGAGACACGGUCCAGACUCCUACGGGAGGCAGCAGUAGGGAAUCUUCCGCAAUGGGCGAAAGCCUGACGGAGCAACGCCGCGUGAGUGAUGAAGGUCUUCGGAUCGUAAAACUCUGUUAUUAGGGAAGAACAUAUGUGUAAGUAACUGUGCACAUCUUGACGGUACCUAAUCAGAAAGCCACGGCUAACUACGUG
RNAcentral lists this ribosomal RNA (497 nucleotides) under uncultured bacterium. RNAcentral describes it as "partial 16S ribosomal RNA". It matches the Rfam family "Bacterial small subunit ribosomal RNA", at positions 28 to 507 of the family's 1533-position model. The record is from RNAcentral.